UCUGUAAUUCAUUGCUCAUAGAGGCAAGUAUGAUACAUUUGACAGUCACACUGUCAUUUUUCCACAUCUUAUGUAUGGCAACCUCCUCUUCUGUAGCAUCAUCCCCUAGAUCUCCAAGAUCAGGGGUUUCAAGUAUAUAGGAAAUUUUCUCCUGAGUGAGUACUAUCUUUAAAUUCCUCAACCAGUCCACAUAGUUUGGUCCGGUCAACUUGUUGGCAUCUAAGAUGCCUCUUAGUGAAAGUGAAGAAGCCAUUUAAUAAUUCUACAU
Molecule: long non-coding RNA, 268 nt
Filed under: Phoenix dactylifera (date palm)
Lineage: Eukaryota; Viridiplantae; Streptophyta; Magnoliopsida; Arecales; Arecaceae
Description: long non-coding RNA (PDAC_LNC010201)
Source: RNAcentral